AUGCUCCCAUGGAAUAACGUUGACUUCUCCACCAUCUCGGACUAUACUGGAUUUAUUAUUCGACGUGGAUUACUGCAUUUUCAGAAGUUUUCUUCUUUUCUGAUGAUUGAAGAACGACGAUGGACACGACAGUCGGAAGACGCUGUAGAGACCGGGAGGACCUUGUGUAAAUCACGGAGAGACGAAGACAGACCAGAGGAUCGUUGCCAGCUUUAAGGUUGUGCUUCAUGUCAACCCAAUGCAAGCCAUACCCA
RNAcentral lists this long non-coding RNA (254 nucleotides) under Gadus morhua (Atlantic cod). RNAcentral's name for it is "lncRNA (ENSGMOG00000024642.1)". The record is from RNAcentral. Lineage: Eukaryota; Metazoa; Chordata; Actinopteri; Gadiformes; Gadidae.